AUUGAACGCUGGCGGCAUGCCUUACACAUGCAAGUCGAACGGUAACAGGGAGCUUGCUCCGCUGACGAGUGGCGAACGGGUGAGUAAUGUAUCGGAACGUACCUUUUAGUGGGGGAUGACGUAGCGAAAGUUACGCUAAUACCGCAUAUUCUCUGAGGAGGAAAGCAGGGGACCUUCGGGCCUUGCGCUAAUAGAGCGGCUGAUAUCAGAUUAGCUAGUUGGUGAGGUAAAGGCUCACCAAGGCGACGAUCUGUAGCGGGUCUGAGAGGAUGAUCCGCCACACUGGAACUGAGACACGGUCCAGACUCCUACGGGAGGCAGCAGUGGGGAAUAUCGGACAAUGGGGGGAACCCUGAUCCAGCCAAGCCGCGUGUGUGAAGAAGGCCUUAUGGUUGUAAAGCACUUUAAGCGAGGAGGAGGCUCUUUUGGUUAAUACCCAAGAUGAGUGGACGUUACUCGCAGAAUAAGCACCGGCUAACUCUGUGCCAGCCGCCGCAGUAA
RNAcentral lists this ribosomal RNA (501 nucleotides) under uncultured bacterium. Its description in RNAcentral is "partial 16S ribosomal RNA". It matches the Rfam family "Bacterial small subunit ribosomal RNA", at positions 30 to 523 of the family's 1533-position model. The record is from RNAcentral.